CAAUAGCGUAUAUUAAAGUUGUUGCAGUUAAAAAGCUCGUAGUUGGAUUUCUGUUCUUGGGAUCUGGUCCGCCUCACGGUGAGCACUGGAUAACGGGGGACAUCCUCUCGAAGGCGGCAGGUGCACUUGAUUGUGUGUUUGUUGAAUUCGGGACCUUUACUUUGAAAAAAUUAGAGUGUUCAAAGCAGGCGUCGGCUUGAAUACAUUAGCAUGGAAUAAUGGAAUAGGACUUUGGUUCUAUUUUGUUGGUUUCUAGGACCGAAGUAAUGAUUAAUAGGGACAGUUGGGGGCAUUAGUAUUUAAUUGUCAGAGGUGAAAUUCUUGGAUUUAUGAAAGACUAACUACUGCGAAAGCAUUUGCCAAGGAUGUUUUCAUUAA
RNAcentral lists this ribosomal RNA (378 nucleotides) under uncultured eukaryote. RNAcentral's name for it is "partial 18S ribosomal RNA". It matches the Rfam family "Eukaryotic small subunit ribosomal RNA", at positions 592 to 976 of the family's 1831-position model. The record is from RNAcentral.